This 261-nucleotide ribosomal RNA is filed under the name uncultured prokaryote. RNAcentral describes it as "partial 16S ribosomal RNA". It matches the Rfam family "Bacterial small subunit ribosomal RNA", at positions 524 to 782 of the family's 1533-position model. The record is from RNAcentral.
UACGUAGGUGGCAAGCGUUGUCCGGAUUUAUUGGGCGUAAAGCGAGCGCAGGCGGUUCCUUAAGUCUGAUGUGAAAGCCCACGGCUCAACCGUGGAAGGUCAUUGGAAACUGGGGAACGUUGAGUGCAGAAGAGGAGAGUGGAAUUCCAUGUGUAGCGGUGAAAUGCGUAGAUAUAUGGAGGAACACCAGUGGCGAAGGCGACUCUCUGGUCUGUAACUGACGCUGAGGCUCGAAAGCGUGGGGAGGCAAACAGGAUUAGA